ACCUUAGAGACCAACUAAGUUUGUUCUUGGUAUAAGCUUUCGUGUGCUUUCUGAAGAAGUGUGCAUGCACACAAAAGCUUAUACCAAGAACAAACUUAGUUGGUCUCUAAGGU
Podarcis lilfordi (Lilford's wall lizard) is the source of this 113-nucleotide non-coding RNA. The record is from the annotation of a GenBank genome assembly. NCBI's taxonomy places the organism in Eukaryota, Metazoa, Chordata, Lepidosauria, Squamata, Lacertidae.